UGUUAGGUUGGUGCAAAAGUAAUUGAGGUUUCAGCCAUUACUUUCAAUGGCAAAAACCAAAAUUACUUUUUCACCAACCUAAUACUUUC
RNAcentral lists this microRNA precursor (89 nucleotides) under Chlorocebus sabaeus (green monkey). RNAcentral's name for it is "miRNA (ENSCSAG00000022428.1)". Lineage: Eukaryota; Metazoa; Chordata; Mammalia; Primates; Cercopithecidae. The record is from RNAcentral.